This 253-nucleotide ribosomal RNA is filed under the name uncultured bacterium. RNAcentral's name for it is "partial 16S ribosomal RNA". It matches the Rfam family "Bacterial small subunit ribosomal RNA", at positions 524 to 776 of the family's 1533-position model. The record is from RNAcentral.
GACGGAGGAUGCAAGCGUUAUCCGGAAUGAUUGGGCGUAAAGCGUCCGCAGGUGGCAGUUCAAGUCUGCUGUCAAAGACCGGGGCUUAACUUCGGAAAGGCAGUGGAAACUGAACAGCUAGAGUAUGGUAGGGGCAGAGGGAAUUCCUGGUGUAGCGGUGAAAUGCGUAGAGAUCAGGAAGAACAUCGGUGGCGAAGGCGCUCUGCUGGACCAUAACUGACACUCAGGGACGAAAGCGUGGGGAGCAAACAGG